GCAGUGGUAGUUCAGUGGUAGAAUUCUCACCUUCCAUGUGGGAGAUUUAGGUUCGAUUCCUAACCAGUGCA
Molecule: transfer RNA, 71 nt
Filed under: Loxodonta africana (African savanna elephant)
Lineage: Eukaryota; Metazoa; Chordata; Mammalia; Proboscidea; Elephantidae
Rfam family: tRNA
About the family: Transfer RNA (tRNA) molecules are approximately 80 nucleotides in length.
Source: Rfam by way of RNAcentral